GUGGUUUCUCCAAUCACCCAGAACUUCAUCAGAACAACUACCUACUCGUUAAUCACCAAGAAUCGUGAGCUUAUGAACCUUACAUAAUUUGUAAUCAAAAUCUUCAGUUUUUUGAUGAAUUUUGAGAGAAAGUGUAAGAUAUGUGGUUUGUGUGGAUAGGAAAUGAGAAAGGAUGAGAAAAAAUCGAAACUUUAGGGCAUUAACACUCUCAAUUUGGUAGUUCAUGGUUGUUGAGGUAUUGAUGUCAAUGGCAAAGUUGUGAAUAUUUGGUGAAGAUGAGGAUGGUAAGGUGAAAGCAUUAUUUUCGGAUAAAAAAAGUAACGGCAUUUUCGUGAAUAACUAGAACUUCUAGGGUG
RNAcentral lists this long non-coding RNA (356 nucleotides) under Brassica napus (rape). Its description in RNAcentral is "long non-coding RNA (BNAP_LNC021138)". Lineage: Eukaryota; Viridiplantae; Streptophyta; Magnoliopsida; Brassicales; Brassicaceae. The record is from RNAcentral.